CCGCAAUGAUGAAAGUGUUUCCAAAACCAUUCGUAGUUUCCACCAGAGGUCGAAAGACCCGUGUUGGCCUAAAGAACCUUCCUUGGAUGUCUGAGCGA
Molecule: small nucleolar RNA, 98 nt
Organism: Sphaerodactylus townsendi
Lineage: Eukaryota; Metazoa; Chordata; Lepidosauria; Squamata; Sphaerodactylidae
Product: small nucleolar RNA SNORD14
Exons: 1
Source: RefSeq, a predicted model, not a curated record